This 468-nucleotide ribosomal RNA is filed under the name uncultured bacterium. RNAcentral describes it as "partial 16S ribosomal RNA". It matches the Rfam family "Bacterial small subunit ribosomal RNA", at positions 28 to 507 of the family's 1533-position model. The record is from RNAcentral.
GACGAACGCUGGCGGCGUGCUUAACACAUGCAAGUCGAACGGAAAGGCCCUGCUUUUGUGGGGUGCUCGAGUGGCGAACGGGUGAGUAACACGUGAGUAACCUGCCCUUGACUUUGGGAUAACUUCUGGAAACUGGGGCUAAUACCGGAUAGGAGCUCCUGCUGCAUGGUGUGGGUGUGAAAGUUUCGGCGGUUGGGGAUGGACUCGCGGUUUAUCAGCUUGUUGGUGGGGUAGUGGCUUACCAAGGCUUUGACGGGUAGCCGGCCUGAGAGGGUGACCGGCGACCAUGGGACUGAGAGACGCCCCAGACGCCAACGGGAGGCAGCGGUGGAGAAUAUUACAGAGUGGGAGGAAGCCAGUUGCGACAACGCCGCGUGCGGGAUGACGGGCUUGGGGUUGUGAACCGCUGUCGCCUGUGACGAAGCGUGAAGGGCGGUAAUGGGUAAAGAAGCACCGGCUAACUACGUG